This 242-nucleotide ribosomal RNA is filed under the name uncultured bacterium. RNAcentral's name for it is "partial 16S ribosomal RNA". It matches the Rfam family "Bacterial small subunit ribosomal RNA", at positions 524 to 759 of the family's 1533-position model. The record is from RNAcentral.
UACAGAGGGUGCAAGCGUUAAUCGGAAUUAUUGGGCGUAAAGCGCACGUAGGCGGUUGUAUAAGUUAGCUGUGAAAUACCCGGGCGUUAACUUAGGGGUGGUCAGCUAAUACUGUAGAACUAGAGUAGAGUAGAGGAAGGCGGAAUUACCCGGUGUAGCGGUGAAAUAGCGUAGAUAUCGGGAGGAACAUCAGUGGCGAAGGACGGCCUUCUGGACGAAAUACUGACGCUGAGGAGCGAAAG